CCUACGGGAUGCAGCAGUAGGGAAUCUUCCACAAUGGGCGAAAGCCUGAUGGAGCAACGCCGCGUGGGUGAAGAAGGUCUUCGGAUCGUACAACCCUGUUGUUCGAGAAGAAAGUGCGUGAGAGUAACUGUUCACGUUUCGACGGUAUCUAACCAGAAAGCCACGGCUAACUACGUGCCAGCAGCCGCGGUAAUACGUAGGUGGCACGCGUUAUCCGGAUUUAGUGGGCGUAAAGGGAACGCAGGCGGUCUUUUAAGUCUGAUGUGAAAGCCUUCGGCUUAACCGGAGUAGUGCAUUGGAAACUGGGAGACUUGAGUGCAGAAGAGGAGAGUGGAACUCCAUGUGUAGCGGUGAAAUGCGUAGAUAUAUGGAAGAACACCAGUGGCGAAAGCGGCUCUCUGGUCUGUAACUGACGCUGAGGUUCGAAAGCGUGGGUAGCAAACAGGAUUAGAUACCCGGGUAGUC
This 465-nucleotide ribosomal RNA is filed under the name uncultured bacterium. Its description in RNAcentral is "partial 16S ribosomal RNA". It matches the Rfam family "Bacterial small subunit ribosomal RNA", at positions 338 to 795 of the family's 1533-position model. The record is from RNAcentral.